This 81-nucleotide ribosomal RNA is filed under the name Candidatus Cloacimonadota bacterium. RNAcentral describes it as "partial 23S ribosomal RNA". It matches the Rfam family "Bacterial large subunit ribosomal RNA", at positions 2849 to 2925 of the family's 2925-position model. The record is from RNAcentral. Lineage: Bacteria; Pseudomonadati; Candidatus Cloacimonadota.
AACUUUGAUAGGUCACAGGUGUAAGCACAGCAAUGUGUUCAGCCGAGUGAUACUAAUAUGUCGAUUGCCUUAUUUUUUAUU